GACGUAGGGCACGAGCGUUGUCCGGAUUUAUUGGGCGUAAAGAGCUCGUAGGCGGCUCAUUGCGUCAACCGUGAAAACUUGUGGCUCAACUACAAGCUUGCGGUUGAUACGGGUGGGCUGGAGUUCGGUAGGGGAGACUGGAAUUCCUGGUGUAGCGGUGAAAUGCGCAGAUAUCAGGAGGAACACCGGUGGCGAAGGCGGGUCUCUGGGCCGAUACUGACGCUGAGGAGCGAAAGCGUGGGGAGCGAACAGG
RNAcentral lists this ribosomal RNA (253 nucleotides) under uncultured bacterium. RNAcentral's name for it is "partial 16S ribosomal RNA". It matches the Rfam family "Bacterial small subunit ribosomal RNA", at positions 524 to 776 of the family's 1533-position model. The record is from RNAcentral.